Molecule: ribosomal RNA, 253 nt
Filed under: uncultured bacterium
Lineage: Bacteria
Description: partial 16S ribosomal RNA
Rfam family: Bacterial small subunit ribosomal RNA
Source: RNAcentral
UACGGAGGUCUCAAGCGUUGUUCGGAUUCAUUGGGCGUAAAGAGCUCGUAGGCGGUUUGUCGCGUCUGCCGUGAAAGUCCGGGGCUCAACUCCGGAUCUGCGGUGGGUACGGGCAGACUAGAGUGAUGUAGGGGAGACUGGAAUUCCUGGUGUAGCGGUGAAAUGCGCAGAUAUCAGGAGGAACACCGAUGGCGAAGGCAGGUCUCUGGGCAGUUCCUGACACUGAGGCACGAAGGCCAGGGGAGCAAACGGG